This is an RNA transcript of Oryzias latipes (Japanese medaka), 4030 nucleotides long. It is a transcript of the gene named COMM domain containing 9, with no coding region annotated. The record is from RefSeq and is a predicted model, not a curated record. NCBI's taxonomy places the organism in Eukaryota, Metazoa, Chordata, Actinopteri, Beloniformes, Adrianichthyidae.
GGGAGCGGCAUUUUGCGGUCACGUGAUUCGUUUUGCCGCUGUCACAUGUUAACAUGGCUGCUACCGUCUCCAGUGAGGUCUUCUCUGAUCUGCAGCUUCUCUUAAAGGCUCCUUCUAAAGAUGUAGUCAGAGAAGUCUGUGUCCAGAGUCACAGCGGUCCAAGUCGGCAACUGACGGACAACACCGCAGCAGCGCUCAGCAUCUCUGCAGCCCAGGCAGCUCAGUUGGUCCAGUCCCUCCACACCCUAUCCCAUCACAUCCUCUUCUACAACCUCAGCUCCCCAGAGCAGAUCCUCUCCAUCUUCCCUGAGACCUUUCACUCCAGCCUCAAGAACCUGAUCACCAAAAUCCUGCUGGAGAACAGUCCGGCAUGGAGAACAGGAGCCCUCGAUAAGCAGGUCUCCCUCCCUCAGCUAAAGGACUUGGACUGGAGGGUGGACUUGGUGACUGGCUCAGACUCAGUCAGUCGAAUGUCCAUGCCAACCUGCCUGGUUCAGCUGAAGUUGGAGGAUCCGUGUCAGUCCACGGACAUGGAGUCGGUUUCCACAGUGACUGUAGAGCUGAGACAGACGGCAAGAAACAUCCUGGGAGCUGAGAGCUGAAGGUCUGUUAGCCAUCUGCUGAAGACCCACAUUUAAAUACGAAGUGAGCAGCCCAAUGAAUUCCUUGUAUAUAAAUCUGUACCAGUGUGUGUGAGCCAAUGCAGGCCAGUUCAUAGGUACACAUUCGUGCACCACUGUUCCUGAUGAAAUGGCUGGAGGCAUGAAAAACUGAAUCCAAAAUGUGCAGAGCCUGGACUGGGAAAUGUGUGUAUAAAACAUCACCAUAAUCGAGCACAGUAAAAAAAUGUUGCAGCAACAAAUAUCAUCCUUGCAAGUAAAGACAAACAUAACUUGUUUCUGAAGUGAUUAUAUGUAUUUUAGAUUGAGAAUAGUUUAAAUCUAAAAUAAAAGAAGCAGAAGAUUUUCUGAGAUGCCAGGAAGAAAGACUACUCUAAAAAGAAAACUGACCCAUUUGUUCAUGUGUUUGAGUGUCAUAUUAAAUAUGUAUGACAAUAUUUUAAAAAAAGAAUCUCCUUGAAAACUAUCUGUGAUUUAUAAUACAAAAGUGCUUUUUUAGAGUUUAUAAUAUUUGACAGAUUUAAACUGUUUUAAACUCCUUAAUAAUACAUGACUAUGUACGCGUGCAUGUUAGUAAAUAUUAUUUUAUCAUAUUAUUUAAUUUUAUCACAAAUUACUUUCCUCUUUCCUUAUAGGGUAAGUGUACUUGCCACAGUCUUCGUUAAUGGACACAGUCUGUCUGCUCAUGCAUUGUAAAUAAAGUUUUUUUUUAGGAAAACCACUGCCCCUGCAUAGUGGCUAUGGUCAACCCGUGCCUCCACGAUCUAAUCGUUUGUUUUCUUCGUCAUGUCGGCUCUCUGUAUUCUGGACUAGGAGUAUGUUUUUCCUCAGGAAAGUUUAAUCCAUCUGAGGAUUUCAGUUAAUUUUAAAGAAAAAGGAUGGCGUGUUGUGCUGAUAAAUGUGUCAACAGACCUUGCAGAAAUUCAACUCUGCAGUUUUUCCGAUUACCUCAUCGUGAUCCUGAGCGGCUGAAGAUGUGGCUGCUUAACAUCAAAAGAAAGGACUGGACUCCAUCCACCUCUUCUCGUCUGUGUAGCGAACAUUUUGAGGAAGAUCAGUUCCUAGUCAACAACCAAGGACUAAAGAGGCUAAAGAGCACAGCUGUGCCAACGAUUUUCAAUUUGCCCAUCCGCAAGAAAGUGGAAGUAUCAGCAUGUCCUUUUACUGCCGUCGUGGUAAAAGAAGAGGAAAGUGAUGAGCCAGUGUUCCCAAGUUUAGCUCAUUUUGGCCAUGGCGCUAACUUUACACGUCAAGAUCAUAGCUAUGUCAAUGAACCAAUUGAAGUUAUUGUCAAAGAAGAGUCUUCUGACAGUGCGGAGCAGGAUGAGGGGGUUACGGCAAACUGCAAUGCCAUUGAAAGUAUUUGCUGUUUAGACCACAAUUACAUCAUUGCUGACUCCCCACUACUAUUAAAAAGGAAAAUGGUUGUAUUACAGGGCCAGCUACAUGCAGCCCGUAAAAAGCUCAAAUUAAAGUACCAACACACUAGAAGGUUGAAAAAACAAGUGUCAUCCUUGAAAAAUGCAGUUAGUGUUCUUCAAAAGAAGUUGCUGGUCUUCAACAAGUUUGCUGCUCUCCUACCUGCCGUGGAUUUGGAGGACUGUUACGGGCCGGACCCCUGCCUCAGCCUGGGAGAUUAACCACAAAGCGGCCGUGACAUAUGGCGGAUGGACACCAAAAAGAAUAAGGAACACAGUUUAUUGAAAAAUAAGAGCUUAUGGUAUUACUUUAGAUGCUCCUUUGAAAGACAUCCAAAUACUUGAAAACUAAGGUGGCUUUAUUCAGCGGUUUUUGUCUCUAUUGAUAACUUGGGAGCAAAUUCUCUUACUGGUUUCAUGAAUCUUUAUAUGUAGAAACGCUGUUUGUUGUUGGAAAGGAGUUUUAACUUCUCAGGACUUAUGAAGCCACCAUGUCAGAGUUCAAACGGGGAACAGAUGUUGUCAAAAGUGAAUGUUUUUAACAAAUAUAUUUUCACACUGUAACAGGACUUCCACCUGAUGUUCUACAUGACUUAUUAGAGGGAAUUUAGCUUGUCAACAAAAAUUGAUGUCUGACAAAAGAUUCUCACUUGAAGAAUUAAACACUGCCAUUCGCAAUGUCCUUUAUUGAUUAUCAGAGAGAACUAAUCAACCUCGACAACUAAACCAGACUUUAAAAGUUAAUGGAACAAUCGGGGGCAAUGGACAUGAGAAUUGGACUCUUGAGGCUGCUACCCCUGAUGGUCAGACAUCUGACACUUGAGAACAACAUAACUUGGAGAAUAUUACUUGAACUGAAAGACAUUGUGGAACUUCUUGCCUCCUCCCGUUUGUCACUGAAUCGUUUUAUUUGGAAUACAAAAUAUCGGCCCCAUGGCGGUUCCUGCAGGACGAUCUCCUGGACUUCAAUUUAAGAGCCAACUAUAAUUUUGUUUCUUCCUCAUCUGUUGCUUUGGUCUAUUGCUUGACUGUCGGACUAUAUGUUUUGAAGCCAAAGAUAGUUUUUUUUUUUUUUUUGUGACGAGAAAGAACAAUUUAAAAACGAUUUUACCCAUGCUGCUUUACUUCCUGGACAUGCCCAGCCUUUUUAAGCCCCCAGUAGAUGCUUGCCCUGUGCAUCUUGUUUCUUUAGACAUUUUGGAUUAUUCAGUGAGACAGGCCAUCAGCUCAAAGUAUGAAAAUGUCUCAUCUGUGUCUCUUACUCCUCGUGCCUCUCUGUAUGCCCAAGUGUACACUAAAGGCAUAUUUGCGUCUCUUGCUACCACUAAUGGCCUCCCUGAUUUUGCCAAAAUUCCCGAAGUACCUAUUGUUGUGGACAAGGCCUCAUUUAUCAUUGAGUCUUUUUUUUUCGGGUACUUGGAGAACCUUUGAUUCUAUGAACUCCCCAAGAAACCUCCUGCAGAUCUUGUUGCAGAAUCAGAGGAACUGCACUGCUGUUCCACUGUCCCUGGAGGACUUUGGUCUCACCCAGAGGGUUUCUACUACAUGGAGAAGUCAGUACAUCGUCCUUGCUGGGGACAACAUUCAGAGGGUUUGUACUGAAGGAUUUCCAGAGACAGUGGAUGAGCUGAAGAUGAUGGUGAAGACCUGUUUGAACCUGGAGGGUGAGAUGAAGAAUUCUGUGGUGAAUUCUGUUCUCUGAACAACACAGAGGAUUUACACAGUAAAAUCAUUGAACUGAAGGUCAUCAUGAAGGCACCACGCAGCUGUCCACAGUCCCAAGGCGUCUGGCCCAAUCUGUUCCCCAUACCCACCUUCAUCACGAUGCCUUUUUGACUUGUUUGAUUUCUCAAACCCUUUAUUUAUUUAAUAAACCUAUGAAGUUGCAUGUAGUUUAAGUGUAACUUUAUAGUUAUUUUUUAAAUUAAGAACUCAAAUGUUGAUGUUAAACUUUGUUUAAGAUAAACUUCAUUAAAACUUUAUGCAAACUUG